CAGUCGCCGCGGUAAUACGGAGGGUGCAAGCGUUAAUCGGAAUUACUGGGCGUAAAGCGCACGCAGGCGGUUUGUUAGGUCAGAUGUGAAAUCCCCGAGCUUAACUUGGGAACUGCAUUUGAAACUGGCAAGCUAGAGUCUUGUAGAGGGGGGUAGAAUUCCAGGUGUAGCGGUGAAAUGCGUAGAGAUCUGGAGGAAUACCGGUGGCGAAGGCGGCCCCCUGGACAAAGACUGACGCUCAGGUGCGAAAGCGUGGGGAGCAAACAGGAUUAGAUACCCGCGUAGUCCCUGUCUCUUAUAC
RNAcentral lists this ribosomal RNA (301 nucleotides) under uncultured bacterium. RNAcentral describes it as "partial 16S ribosomal RNA". It matches the Rfam family "Bacterial small subunit ribosomal RNA", at positions 509 to 807 of the family's 1533-position model. The record is from RNAcentral.